This 464-nucleotide ribosomal RNA is filed under the name Testudodiscula testudinalis. RNAcentral's name for it is "partial large subunit ribosomal RNA". The record is from RNAcentral. Lineage: Eukaryota; Metazoa; Mollusca; Gastropoda; Stylommatophora; Geomitridae.
GUUUUCAAAAAUUUAGUUAAUACUAAUUCACGAAGGGCGUGGAGCUAAUUAAACUGUAACACUGGUUACUAAAUUAUGUGUAGCAACAUGCAAAGAAUAAGUAUAAUUAGUGGUGAUAUGCCAAUCAACAUGCCAGAUAUCUUGAUCCGCAAGAAAAAUAUUCAGUAUUUAACUAAACUAGAAAUGGCUAGGUUUCUAGUUAACAUUAAAAUUAAUGUCCAGAGCCUCAGUUUUUGUAAAUAUUACUGUUAUUAUUUUUUUAUAACUCUAUAUUAAUAGUUUAUGAAUCAUACUGCGGCGUCUUACUCACUUGUUAGGAAGUUUGCUAAUGAGAAUAUUAGUAUUAUCAGCAGAUUCUAAGAAGGAACUCGGCAAAUUUUUGCUCAACUGUUUAACAAAAACAUAGCUAAAUGAUAUUGCGUUUGGUUUUUUCUGCUCCAUGAGUAACUUAGAUAGCCGCAGUA